This 795-nucleotide long non-coding RNA is filed under the name Gossypium barbadense (sea-island cotton). RNAcentral's name for it is "long non-coding RNA (GBAR_LNC008724)". The record is from RNAcentral. Lineage: Eukaryota; Viridiplantae; Streptophyta; Magnoliopsida; Malvales; Malvaceae.
UAUACCAACAAAAUAACUCAAAUAAUAAACCCAAAAGUAACAGCCCAUUUACAAACCCAAAAUCUGACCCAAAAUUUAAAUCCAAACAAAUCAAAACCUUAAAGCCCAAAUGGCCCAAAAUCUAAAACAUUUUUCAGCAAAAUUUCAGCAGCAAACCCCAGCUCUCCAUGCCACCAUGUCGGCCACCAUGCCCCUCAGCCUUGGCCACCACGCCCCACGUGUCUGACACUCCCACCAACUCCUCCAUGUGCGCCCACCUGUUGAUUUCCGUCACCUGCAGAAUAAGACAAAAAGAAAGCAAACACUAAGACAGAGGCAGACGGCAGGAAGCAAUGGCAAGAAAUUUAAAAUAUUGUAUUGAAAUGGCUAUAAAUGCCAGAUCUGAAUGUAAUAGAAGGGGGGAUUUUUAUGUUUUUUUUUUGGAGAUUUCAAAGGGAAGAAUCGGUUGUAUUUUGGGGGACCCUUUUUUUUUUUCCUCUUCUCUCUUUCGAUUUCUUAACCAAAAGCAAACAAUUGAUAUCCGAAAUACUACGAUCUUAACAUCAAAAGGCAGAGAUUCGAACACCCAAAAAUCAGUAAAUCAACAAGUCAAAAAUCAGAACCGGAAACCUAAGGUGGUUGUGAAUCUAUUCUUGUUUUGUCUUUUGUUCUAUUUUCCCAUAUAUAUACUAAAAAAUAUAAAAAUAACAAUAUAAUAUAAACAUAAAAAAAUUAAAAAAAUUAAAAAAAAAAUAUUUUUUACCGCGGUGGCCGGCGCCGGCGCCGGCGAGCCUCCGGUGGCCGUCCGGUGACCGG